GUAGUCACUGUGACCAAAGCAAAUGGCUUGAAAUCAUUUCCUGGUAAGCUUCAUUUUACAGGGUGCAACACUGGCCCCAAAGACUUGCUACUCCACGACAGCCGUAUUACCGAGGGCAUUGUUUCGAAAGGAUGCUAAUCCUGUUCUAUCCAGAGCCCAGGACCAGGGUGUACAUAUGGCCCCCUAGAUUUGAUCUCCGCCGUGCAGGCCACGCGUCUCUUCAACUGAGCAAUGGCGCCUACAUCAGCUGGUGGCCCAAGGGUGGUAAAGGUUCCUUUCUUAAAGUACCUGGAACUCCGCGUAGAACUCUUGAGGAAGACAUCGAAGAUGAGAAAACACUGCCAAGCUAUGUGAUCAUUAUACCCGGGUACAUAAACCUGGAUGAAGAGGCCGUUGAAGGAUGGUGGAACAGUUGGAAGUUGGAAGGCAAUUGGGAUGCCUAUCACACCUGUUGUUGGGUGAUCAAGGAAGCUCUUUCUCAGGGUCUGAGUGCUAAUUUUACAACUGAUUGGCCAUGUUGGAUAAAUGAUGUCUCCGACCUAGUGGAUUGCAUAAGAAGCAUCCCUGGCAGUUCGUUUCGUGAUUGGUCAUAUGACCUCUUUUUACAAUACCAAAGGGGCUAUUGGCAAAAUCUUAAAACAAAAUAUGGAAAAAAUUUAGAAAAUAUUAAUUUAAUGUUUCUGAAAGCCUUACCUAGACAUCGAGUUUCUAUAAACAGGAACCAAACCGGUUGCGUUUGCACGUUUGCAUGUUUGUGUUUAACUACCUGGGUCUUAUGGACUUUCACCAAACGUGUUUCCUGGGGGAGAAAUAUUUGGAGUGUUGUGCCUAUAAUACUCUAUACGUAUUGAUAUACUGUUGUAUUUACUUGUUGGAUGACAUUGAGACACGGUCAAGGACAAUGUGAUGUAGUUUAGUGGUUCACUUGGAACCUCUUGCUAGACCCCAGUGUCGUGUCGGUGCAUAGCUGCCUGCAAGGCCGCGAACAGAAGGUUUGCACUCGAUCAUAUCGAAUAUGAUAGCCUCGGAUUUAGACCAUAACUUUCAACGUUGGAAACAGAUCACAGAGUGUGUGCAUGUUACAUCUACUAAAUACUUGGAGACAUUUACGAAUUUGAUUGAACCAACAAUUACUUUCUUUGAUGUUUAUUUUAUUAAGUUGUUGUAAUGACUUGGGCAGACUCAGAUGAUGUAUCUGAUUGACCCUGCUUCAUCAUACCUAUUGUUAAAGUAUAACGAGAUAAGAAUGCUUGUGUUUCAGAUUUUGUGUAAUUUUUUCUCUCUCGAUUAAUGCCGAACGAAAUAAGUUUGAAAGUCACAUACAUUGGUUCUUGUCUCAUGAAGUAGAUUUUAGCAAUAUUGCAUAGUAUAUGUCAUUGUUAAAUGAUAUUAUCAGAAGGUAUGUUCUUGUUCAGAUGUUUGUUAUACGAUGAUUGUUUGCGUAAAUAAAGUAUUGUUAUCAAAUACA
This is a long non-coding RNA of Haliotis rufescens (red abalone), 1468 nucleotides long. RefSeq lists it as uncharacterized. The record is from RefSeq and is a predicted model, not a curated record. NCBI's taxonomy places the organism in Eukaryota, Metazoa, Mollusca, Gastropoda, Lepetellida, Haliotidae. The transcript has 2 exons.